RNAcentral lists this ribosomal RNA (495 nucleotides) under uncultured bacterium. Its description in RNAcentral is "partial 16S ribosomal RNA". It matches the Rfam family "Bacterial small subunit ribosomal RNA", at positions 30 to 507 of the family's 1533-position model. The record is from RNAcentral.
UGACCGCUGGCGGCGUGCCUAAUACAUGCAAGUCGAGCGAACAGACGCGGAGCUUGCUCCUCUGACGUUAGCGGCGGACGGGUGAGUAACACGUGGAUAACCUACCUAUAAGACUGGGAUAACUUCGGGAAACCGGAGCUAAUACCGGAUAAUAUAUUGAACCGCAUGGUUCAAUAGUGAAAGACGGUUUUGCUGUCACUUAUAGAUGGAUCCGCGCCGCAUUAGCUAGUUGGUAAGGUAACGGCUUACCAAGGCAACGAUGCGUAGCCGACCUGAGAGGGUGAUCGGCCACACUGGAACUGAGACACGGUCCAGACCCCUACGGGAGGCAGCAGUAGGGAAUCUUCCGCAAUGGGCGAAAGCCUGACGGAGCAACGCCGCGUGAGUGAUGAAGGUCUUCGGAUCGUAAAACUCUGUUAUUAGGGAAGAACAAAUGUGUAAGUAACUAUGCACGUCUUGACGGUACCUAAUCAGAAAGCCACGGCUAACUACGUG